RNAcentral lists this ribosomal RNA (695 nucleotides) under Halichoeres podostigma (axil spot wrasse). Its description in RNAcentral is "partial 12S ribosomal RNA". The stretch from base 1 to 461 matches the Rfam family "Bacterial small subunit ribosomal RNA", at positions 884 to 1533 of the family's 1533-position model. Lineage: Eukaryota; Metazoa; Chordata; Actinopteri; Labriformes; Labridae. The record is from RNAcentral.
GAGCAUCAGCUUAAAACCCAAAGGACUUGACGGUGCUUUAGAUCCAUCUAGAGGAGCCUGUUCUGGAACCGAUACUCCCCGUUCAACCUCACCUUUCCUUGUCCUAUUCCGUCUAUAUACCGCCGUCGUCAGCUUACCCUUUGAAGAUCCUGUAGUGAGCACAAUCGGCACAGCCCAAAACGCCAGGUCGAGGUGUAGCGAAUGGAAAGGGAUAGAAAUGGGCUACAUUCAAUAAAACAUAAUGAACACGGAUGAUGUCCUGAAAAUGACAUCUGAAGGAGGAUUUAGCAGUAAGUAAAGAGUAGAGUGCUUUACUGAAACUCGGCUCUGAAGCGCGUACACACCGCCCGUCACUCUCUCCAAGCUUAUAAGAAAACAUUACUAAUAAAUAAGACCCGCAAAGGGGAGGCAAGUCGUAACAUGGUAAGCGUACCGGAAGGUGCGCUUGGCAUAACCUUUUCAGAGCAUAGCUUAACAGACUAAAGCAUCUCUCUUACACUGAGACGACACCCGUUUAAAUCGGGUUGCCCUGAAACCUCGUAGCUAGCCCCCAACCCCCUAAAACCAAUCAACCACCCUCAAUAACCCCAGACGCACUAAAAACGCAAAACAAACCAUUUUUCCCUCUCAGUAUAGGAGAUAGAAGAGAGACCCGGAGCGAUAGAGAAAGUACCGCAAGGGAAAGCUGAAAGAGA